RNAcentral lists this ribosomal RNA (643 nucleotides) under uncultured bacterium. Its description in RNAcentral is "bacterial SSU rRNA". It matches the Rfam family "Bacterial small subunit ribosomal RNA", at positions 232 to 885 of the family's 1533-position model. The record is from RNAcentral.
CGCGGCCUAUCAGCUUGUUGGUGAGGUAAUGGCUCACCAAGGCGUCGACGGGUAGCCGGCCUGAGAGGGUGACCGGCCACACUGGGACUGAGACACGGCCCAGACUCCUACGGGAGGCAGCAGUGGGGAAUAUUGCACAAUGGGCGGAAGCCUGAUGCAGCAACGCCGCGUGAGGGAUGACGGCCUUCGGGUUGUAAACCUCUUUUAGCAGGGAAGAAGCGAAAGUGACGGUACCUGCAGAAAAAGCGCCGGCUAACUACGUGCCAGCAGCCGCGGUAAUACGUAGGGCGCAAGCGUUAUCCGGAAUUAUUGGGCGUAAAGAGCUCGUAGGCGGUUCGUCGCGUCUGCUGUGAAAACCCGAGGCUCAACCUCGGGCCUGCAGUGGGUACGGGCAGACUAGAGUGCGGUAGGGGAGAUUGGAAUUCCUGGUGUAGCGGUGGAAUGCGCAGAUAUCAGGAGGAACACCGAUGGCGAAGGCAGAUCUCUGGGCCGUAACUGACGCUGAGGAGCGAAAGGGUGGGGAGCAAACAGGCUUAGAUACCCUGGUAGUCCACCCCGUAAACGUUGGGAACUAGUUGUGGGGUCCAUUCCACGGAUUCCGUGACGCAGCUAACGCAUUAAGUUCCCCGCCUGGGGAGUACGG